GCCUACGGCCAUACCACCCUGAGAACGCCCGAUCUCGUCUGAUCUCGGAAGCUAAGCAGGGUCGGGCCCGGUUAGUACUUGGAUGGGAGACUGCCUGGGAAUACCGGGUGCUGUAGGCU
Manacus vitellinus (golden-collared manakin) is the source of this 119-nucleotide ribosomal RNA. NCBI's taxonomy places the organism in Eukaryota, Metazoa, Chordata, Aves, Passeriformes, Pipridae. The record is from Ensembl.